Molecule: transfer RNA, 71 nt
Filed under: Marmota monax (woodchuck)
Lineage: Eukaryota; Metazoa; Chordata; Mammalia; Rodentia; Sciuridae
Description: tRNA.Ala
Rfam family: tRNA
About the family: Transfer RNA (tRNA) molecules are approximately 80 nucleotides in length.
Source: RNAcentral
GGGGUUGUGGCUCAGAGGUAGAGUGCUCACCUAGCAUGUGUGAGGCACUGGAUUCGAUCCUCAGCACCACA